UCUGCGCCCCGGCCUGAACGGAGCUCUUUUUAUUUUUUUUUUGGAAAAAUAAAAAAGCGGGAGUGGAGGACGGAUAAAGGC
Molecule: unclassified non-coding RNA, 81 nt
Filed under: Epilithonimonas hominis
Lineage: Bacteria; Pseudomonadati; Bacteroidota; Flavobacteriia; Flavobacteriales; Weeksellaceae
Description: Chryseobacterium hominis Flavo-1 RNA
Source: RNAcentral